AGCAGUCACGGUAAUUCCAGCUCCAAUAGUAUAGAUUAAAGUUAUUACAGUCGAAAGCAUGUAGUUGAAUUUCGGAAUCAAAUUACUGAUUGUGCUAUGGACCUAUGGUACAUACUGGUUUUAUUGAUUCUUCCCUUCUGACGAACACCAUUAAUUUUGGUGUCAUGGGGAAUCUGGACUGUUUACUUUGAAAAAUUAGUGUGAUUAAAGCAGGCCCACGCUUGAUGAAAUAACGAAAUAGGACGUUUGUUGGUUUCUAGAAUCGACAUAAUGAUUAAUAGGGAUAGUUGGGCAAUUAGUAUUCAAUUGUCAGAGAUGAAAUUCUUGGAUUUAUUGAAGACAGACUACUGCGAAAGCAUUUGCCAAGGAU
This 370-nucleotide ribosomal RNA is filed under the name uncultured Glomeromycotina. RNAcentral's name for it is "bacterial SSU rRNA". It matches the Rfam family "Eukaryotic small subunit ribosomal RNA", at positions 569 to 965 of the family's 1831-position model. Lineage: Eukaryota; Fungi; Glomeromycota. The record is from RNAcentral.